GUGCCAGCCGCCGCGGUAAUACGUAGGUGGCAAGCGUUAUCCGGAAUUAUUGGGCGUAAAGCGCGCGUAGGCGGUUUUUUAAGUCUGAUGUGAAAGCCCACGGCUCAACCGUGGAGGGUCAUUGGAAACUGGAAAACUUGAGUGCAGAAGAGGAAAGCGGAAUUCCAUGUGUAGCGGUGAAAUGCGCAGAGAUAUGGAGGAACACCGAUGGCGAAGGCAGGUUACUGGGCAGUCACUGACGCUGAGGAGCGAAAGCAUGGGUAGCAAACAGGAUUAGAUACCCUGGUAGUC
RNAcentral lists this ribosomal RNA (291 nucleotides) under uncultured Staphylococcus sp. RNAcentral's name for it is "partial 16S ribosomal RNA". It matches the Rfam family "Bacterial small subunit ribosomal RNA", at positions 505 to 795 of the family's 1533-position model. Lineage: Bacteria; Bacillati; Bacillota; Bacilli; Caryophanales; Staphylococcaceae. The record is from RNAcentral.